GAUGAAGAACGUAGCGAAAUGCGAUAAGUAGUGUGAAUUGCAGAAUUCAGUGAAUCAUCGAAUCUUUGAACGCACAUUGCGCCCCUUGGUAUUCCAUGGGGCAUGCCUGUUCGAGCGUCAUUUGUACCUUCAAGCUUUGCUUGGUGUUGGGUGUUUGUCUCGCCUCCGCGUGUAGACUCGCCUCAAAACAAUUGGCAGCCGGCGUAUUGAUUUCGGAGCGCAGUACAUCUCGCGCUUUGCUCUCACAACGACGACGUCCAAAAGUACAUUUUUACACUCUUGACCUCGGAUCAGGUAGGGAUACCCGCUGAACUUAAGCAUAUCAAUAAGCGGAGGA
Molecule: unclassified non-coding RNA, 337 nt
Filed under: soil metagenome
Description: partial contains 5.8S ribosomal RNA, internal transcribed spacer 2, and large subunit ribosomal RNA
Rfam family: 5.8S ribosomal RNA (bases 1-120)
Source: RNAcentral